This 301-nucleotide ribosomal RNA is filed under the name uncultured bacterium. Its description in RNAcentral is "partial 16S ribosomal RNA". It matches the Rfam family "Bacterial small subunit ribosomal RNA", at positions 509 to 807 of the family's 1533-position model. The record is from RNAcentral.
CAGUCGCCGCGGUAAUACAGAGGGUGCGAGCGUUAAUCAGAUUUACUGGGCGUAAAGCGUGCGUAGGCGGCUUUUUAAGUCGGAUGUGAAAUCCCUGAGCUUAACUUAGGAAUUGCAUUCGAUACUGGGAAGCUAGAGUAUGGGAGAGGAUGGUAGAAUUCCAGGUGUAGCGGUGAAAUGCGUAGAGAUCUGGAGGAAUACCGAUGGCGAAGGCAGCCAUCUGGCCUAAUACUGACGCUGAGGUACGAAAGCAUGGGGAGCAAACAGGAUUAGAGACCCCCGUAGUCCCUGUCUCUUAUAC